Mastigocoleus testarum BC008 is the source of this 217-nucleotide intron RNA. It matches the Rfam family "Group I catalytic intron". Rfam says of the family: Group I catalytic introns are large self-splicing ribozymes. They catalyse their own excision from mRNA, tRNA and rRNA precursors in a wide range of organisms. The record is from Rfam. Lineage: Bacteria; Bacillati; Cyanobacteriota; Cyanophyceae; Nostocales; Hapalosiphonaceae.
CUACGGACUUAGAAAACUGAGCCUUGAUAGAGAAAUCUUUCAAGUGGAAGCUCUCAAACUCAGGGAAACCUAAAUCUAAUUAACAGACAUGGCAAUCCUGAGCCAAGCCAAUUAAGAUUUACUAUCUUUAAUUUGGAAGGUGCAGAGACUCGACGGGAGCUACCCUAACGUUUAGGACGAGGGUAAAGGGAGAGUCCAAUUCUCAAAGUCUAAAGAG